Molecule: unclassified non-coding RNA, 262 nt
Filed under: Hevea brasiliensis (rubber tree)
Lineage: Eukaryota; Viridiplantae; Streptophyta; Magnoliopsida; Malpighiales; Euphorbiaceae
Source: RNAcentral
AGGAUUUUCAACAUCGUGAUCGGUGGAGGGGUGGUACAGCUCUAUGAAUUUGGAAGGAUUAGGGUUUGGAUGUGAUCUAUUGUUGUUUGUGGGUUUGUGUAAAUGCUCGUGGGAGGGGAUCUAGGGUUUCUCUCGAGCUUGGUGGUGGCGGCGUUUGUGGCGGUUUUUGGACCGGUGUUAUGUUUUGUGGUUAGACGGAAAUGGAGGCGUUCGGUGGCGAGGAGGGAGGAGAUCAAGAGGUUGUUGGUUUUGGCUUCGGAGG